RNAcentral lists this small RNA (577 nucleotides) under Pan troglodytes (chimpanzee). Its description in RNAcentral is "retained intron". Lineage: Eukaryota; Metazoa; Chordata; Mammalia; Primates; Hominidae. The record is from RNAcentral.
AAACAAAUGCCAAACUUUUUAUUAUAGAAUAUUCUCUAAGAUCAGUUUAAUUAUGUAUUUUAGGAUAUUGGUGCUGGAAAAGGCAAAUACUAUGCUGUCAAUUUUCCAAUGAGAGAUGGUAUAGAUGAUGAGUCAUAUGGGCAGAUAUUUAAGCCUGUAAGUAUUAUUGUUUUCACAAUUAGAAUGGAAUUUCAGAAUGUUAUUGGAGAUGCUAACAUUUGUUAUCUUGUGUGUAGAUUAUCUCAAAGGUGAUGGAGAUGUAUCAACCUAGUGCUGUGGUAUUACAGUGUGGUGCAGACUCAUUAUCUGGUGAUAGACUGGGUUGUUUCAAUCUAACAGUCAAAGGUCAUGCUAAAUGUGUAGAAGUUGUAAAAACUUUUAACUUACCAUUACUGAUGCUUGGAGGAGGUGGCUACACAAUCCGUAAUGUUGCUCGAUGUUGGACAUAUGAGACUGCAGUUGCCCUUGAUUGUGAGAUUCCCAAUGAGUUGCCAUAUAAUGAUUACUUUGAGUAUUUUGGACCAGACUUCAAACUGCAUAUUAGUCCUUCAAACAUGACAAACCAGAACACUCCAGA